GGACUCGAACCCCGGUCUGGUGAUUGGAAGGGAAGUCGUGGAAAAUCCCACUGAGCCACUUG
This 62-nucleotide small RNA is filed under the name Caenorhabditis elegans. RNAcentral's name for it is "Unclassified non-coding RNA R12G8.3". The record is from RNAcentral. Lineage: Eukaryota; Metazoa; Nematoda; Chromadorea; Rhabditida; Rhabditidae.